Molecule: ribosomal RNA, 452 nt
Filed under: Dyadobacter frigoris
Lineage: Bacteria; Pseudomonadati; Bacteroidota; Cytophagia; Cytophagales; Spirosomataceae
Description: Dyadobacter sp. AR-3-8 partial 23S ribosomal RNA
Rfam family: Bacterial large subunit ribosomal RNA
Source: RNAcentral
GCAAGCGAAUUAAGGGCGCAUGGAGGAUACCUAGGCUCUCAGAGGCGAUGAAGGACGUGAUAAGCUGCGAUAAGCUACGGGGAACAGCACAUAUGUCUUGAUCCGUAGAUUUCCGAAUGGGGCAACCCAGUACCAUGAAGUGGUAUUACCCURCGGGGGGCGAACGUGGGGAACUGAAACAUCUAAGUACCCACAGGAGAAGAAAAUAAUAAUGAUUCCGCAAGUAGUGGCGAGCGAACGCGGAAGAGCCCAAACCGGCCUGGUUACGGCCAGACCGGGGUUGUAGGACUCACCAAGUGUAUAACAAUUGAACUGGAAUGGCGUGGGAAAGCCAACCAUAGAGGGUGAGAGUCCUGUACAGGUAAGAGCGUUAUAUGAGUGAGUAUCCUGAGUAGGUGGGGACCGGAGAAAUCCCCUUCGAAUCCGGCGGCACCAUCCGCCAAGGCUAAAUA